This 362-nucleotide ribosomal RNA is filed under the name uncultured eukaryote. RNAcentral describes it as "partial 18S ribosomal RNA". It matches the Rfam family "Eukaryotic small subunit ribosomal RNA", at positions 592 to 976 of the family's 1831-position model. The record is from RNAcentral.
CAAUAGCAUAUAUUAACGUUGUUGCAGUUGAAAAGCUAGUAGUUGAACUUUUGGUAGGAGCGACCUGGCCUUGGGCGCAUGCCCUUGUUUGCCGUGUGUCGUAUCUGGCCAUCCUUUUCUUCGGUUUCGGAGGAAUCUUUUACUGUGAGUAAACUGGAGUGCUCAAAACAAGACGUUUGUUUGGUACAUUAAAGCAUGGAAUAAUAAGAUAGGACCUGGUUACUAUUUUGUUGGUUUGCAUAGCUAGGUAAUGAUUAACAGGGACAGUUGGGGGUAUUCGUAUUUAAUUGUCAGAGGUGAAAUUCUUGGAUUUAUGAAAGACGAACGACUGCGAAAGCAUAUACCAAGGAUGUUUUCAUUAA